This 500-nucleotide ribosomal RNA is filed under the name uncultured bacterium. RNAcentral's name for it is "partial 16S ribosomal RNA". It matches the Rfam family "Bacterial small subunit ribosomal RNA", at positions 30 to 523 of the family's 1533-position model. The record is from RNAcentral.
AUUGAACGCUAGCGGGAUGCCUUACACAUGCAAGUCGAACGGCAGCGCGGACUUCGGUCUGGCGGCGAGUGGCGAACGGGUGAGUAAUGUAUCGGAACGCGCCCAGUAGCAGGGGAUAACUACUCGAAAGAGUAGCUAAUACCGCAUACGCCCUACGGGGGAAAGGGGGGGACCGCAAGACCUCUCACUAUUGGAGCGGCCGAUAUCGGAUUAGCUAGUUGGUGAGGUAAAGGCUCACCAAGGCGACGAUCCGUAGCUGGUUUGAGAGGACGACCAGCCACGAUGGACCUGAGACACGGCCCAGACUCCUACGGGAGGCAGCAGUGGGGAAUUUUGGACAAUGGGGGCAACCCUGAUCCAGCCAUUCCGCGUGUGCGAUGAAGGCCUUCGGGUUGUAAAGCACUUUUGGCAGGAAAGAAAUCGCACGGAUUAAUACUCUGUGUGGAUGACGGUACCUGCAGAAUAAGCACCGGCUAACUACGUGCCAGCAGCCGCCGUAA